Molecule: ribosomal RNA, 513 nt
Filed under: uncultured bacterium
Lineage: Bacteria
Description: bacterial SSU rRNA
Rfam family: Bacterial small subunit ribosomal RNA
Source: RNAcentral
UCCGCGAACGCUGGCGGCAUGCCUAAACAUGCAAGUCGUACGGAGAGUGGGGCGACUCACUCUCAGUGGCAAACGGGUGAGUAACACGUGAAUAACCUGCCUUUGAGAAGGGGAUAACUGUCCGAAAGGAUAGCUAAUACCCUAUAUUGCCUUUUGUCACUAAGGCAAAAGGUGAAAGCGAGGCUGUCAAAGGCUUCGGCUCAAAGAGGGGUUCGCGUCCUAUCAGGUAGUUGGUGGGGUAAUGGCCUACCAAGCCAAUGACGGGUAGCUGGUCUUAGAGGAUAAUCAGCCACAGUGGGACUGAGACACGGCCCGCACCCCUACGGGGGGCAGCAGUGGGGAAUCGUGGGCAAUGGGCGCAAGCCUGACCCCGCAAUGCCGCGUGAGGGAAGAAGCCCUUCGGGGUGUAAAGUACUUUCAGCGGGGAGGAAGGGAGUAAAGUUAAUACCUUUGCUCAUUGACGUUACCCGCAGAAGAAGCACCGGCUAACUCCGUGCCAGCAGCCGCGGUAAU